Molecule: ribosomal RNA, 458 nt
Filed under: uncultured Paludibacter sp.
Lineage: Bacteria; Pseudomonadati; Bacteroidota; Bacteroidia; Bacteroidales; Paludibacteraceae
Description: bacterial SSU rRNA
Rfam family: Bacterial small subunit ribosomal RNA
Source: RNAcentral
CCUACGGGGGGCAGCAGUGAGGAAUAUUGGUCAAUGGUCGAGAGACUGAACCAGCCAAGUCGCGUGAAGGAAGACGGCUCUAUGAGUUGUAAACUUCUUUUGUACAGGAGUAAAGUGAGACACGCGUGUUUUAUUGCAAGUACUGUACGAAUAAGCAUCGGCUAACUCCGUGCCAGCAGCCGCGGUAAUACGGAGGAUGCAAGCGUUAUCCGGAUUUAUUGGGUUUAAAGGGUGCGUAGGCGGUAUUACAAGUCAGGGGUGAAAUCUUGGUGCUUAACAUUAAAAUUGCCUUUGAAACUGUGGUACUUGAGUGUAAAAGAGGUAGGCGGAAUGUGUUGUGUAGCGGUGAAAUGCAUAGAUAUAACACAGAACCCCGAGUGCGAAGGCAGCUUACUAUCAUACAACUGACGCUGAUGCACGAAAGCGUGGGGAGCAAACAGGAUUAGAGACCCUUAGUC